GCCCAGGUAGUCUAGUGGUAAGGCGACGGUCUCGAAAACCGUUUCUCCCUCGGGAGAGCGCAGGUUCGAAUCUUGCCCUGGGCGC
Molecule: transfer RNA, 85 nt
Filed under: Methanosarcina thermophila MST-A1
Lineage: Archaea; Methanobacteriati; Methanobacteriota; Methanomicrobia; Methanosarcinales; Methanosarcinaceae
Description: tRNA-Ser
Rfam family: tRNA
About the family: Transfer RNA (tRNA) molecules are approximately 80 nucleotides in length. Their secondary structure includes four short double-helical elements and three loops (D, anti-codon, and T loops).
Source: RNAcentral